ACUCCUACGGGAGGCAGCAGUGGAGAAUAUUGCACAAUGGGCGCAAGCCUGAGGCAGCCAUGCCGCGUGUAUGAAGAAGGCCUUCGGGUUGUAAAGUACUUUCAGUUGUGAGGAAGGGGGUAGUGUUAAUAGCACUAUCUCUUGACGUUAGCAACAGAAGAAGCACCGGCUAACUCCGUGCCAGCAGCCGCGGUAAUACGGAGGGUGCGAGCGUUAAUCGGAAUUACUGGGCGUAAAGCGCAUGCAGGUGGUUCAUUAAGUCAGAUGUGAAAGCCCGGGGCUCAACCUCGGAACUGCAUUUGAAACUGGUGAACUAGAGUACUGUAGAGGGGGGUAGAAUUUCAGGUGUAGCGGUGAAAUGCGUAGAGAUCUGAAGGAAUACCAGUGGCGAAGGCGGCCCCCUGGACAGAUACUGACACUCAGAUGCGAAAGCGUGGGGAGCAAACAGGAUUAGAUACCCUGGUAGUCCACGCCGUAAACGAUGUCUACUUGGAGGUUGUGGCCUUGAGCCGUGGCUUUCGGAGCUAACGCGUUAAGUAGACCGCCUGGGGAGUACGGUCGCAAGAUUAAAACUCAAAGGAAUUGACGG
RNAcentral lists this ribosomal RNA (589 nucleotides) under uncultured bacterium. Its description in RNAcentral is "bacterial SSU rRNA". It matches the Rfam family "Bacterial small subunit ribosomal RNA", at positions 335 to 916 of the family's 1533-position model. The record is from RNAcentral.